UGAGAUCCAAAGCAUCCAUUCUUUUUCUUUUAAACAAAACAAAACCCUAAUACCUCAUUUCUCAAAAAAUCUUCCGUCGCCUCUCCACACUCUCUCUCUACAAACCCUCUCUUCUUUACCUUCUCUAUAAAACAAAACCAUUGUUGACCUCCAUCGCCGCUCCGCCUCGCCUCCCUCCAUCGCUGCUCCGCAUCUCUCCGUUCAUCCCCCAACAGCAGCUGCCCAGCGCCCCUACCGGCUCUCCUUCUCAAACAGCCACCGCCGCCGUUCUCUCUUUCACCGGUGAGCUCCUCUCUCGCCACCAAUUGUUGCUGCAGCCAGCUCUACAAUCAAGCCUAUUCCAGCCCAAUGCCAUUCUGACAAGCACCAUUUUCUAAUCCUUUGUUUCUUCAUUUUUAACAUAUUUUUUUAUCUGAAAUUGACAAAAUUUGACUGAAGUUCUUGUUUGAUUUCUUCUUAUUUGGAUUUUUUUACAUCUUUAGAUUGUUAUGUAUGAAAACCCCAAAAUUUAUGAGCUAUGAUCAACCCUAGACGCAGAAGGAGCUGAAUAAGUAACUGAAAGUGAAAAAAAUUAGUCUUUCUAGGCUUAUUAAAACUAAAGUAAAGGAGAAUAAUAUGAAGAAUAGGCUCACAUAUAUUACACUAGGUUGAGGGAUCUUAUACAAUUAUAGUGUUGCUCUAAAUGGUAGAAUUUGACUGACUUGGGAUCAAAAUUGGUAUGAAGUACAUAUUCUUGGCACCUCUCCUCCACUACUACAUUGUAUGAUUAUAGAUAGAUGCAAAGACCACCUGGUUGUACUCACUGUCAUGUAUGGUUUUAAUACAUAGAUCAGAGGAAGUAUUUAGCAGGAUCUUCAGUUACACCAGUAGAAAUUAGAGACUUUACUGAGUGUGUGUAGAAUAUCGGAGUUACUAAACUGCCCUGGAAGGGAUAAUACUACACCUGAACUAAUUAGAAACAUUGAAUGGACAGAAUUUCUAGUAAGAUUGACAUAGCAUUUGGCAACUUUUCAUUUCUUAGUAAUUUUCAAUGACUUUGACUAUUCAAGAUUAUCAUAAGAAUGUAAAAGUGUCAUUUAAAUUCUUCAAUGUGUGAUCUUACAUCUUUCUUGACCAUGGUGGAUACUAUAUCAGUAGUUUGUUCCUUGUCAAAAAUUGUCUCAGGAGUUUUUCAUAUUUUAGAGUCUAGUUUGUCAAGCUAUCAUAUUUUAUAGUCAAGUUUGUCAAGGUGUUAUUUUUUCCUCGAAGUCCUAUCUGUUGGAAGAUUUUGUCAUUAUUUUUCUUUCUCUAUUUUCCUUCUCAUGGGUAUGUAGAUUUGCUACAGGCGGUACACAAGGUUUUAUGGAAUCUCAGAAAGGACUGUUGUAGAUUUGGUUCAUCAUUCAUUGACAAGUGAGCGUCUCCUGUUCUGCUUAGGCUCAUGUUUGAUUUCUUAGUUGUGCUUACUAAUUGUUUGGACUAUUCUUUUACAUUGAUCAAAUUAUAAGCUGUGGAAAGAAGAAAUUGAGAAAUGGCAAAAUCCUAUCCUUAAUGAUGAUAAGCUGCCGAAAUGGUUAGUUUGAUAGAGAUUUUGUAAUUGUUUUGGAAUAGCAUUAUACUUUUUUUGUGUGUGUUAGCUAUCAUUACGAGCAUAAGCAUUUUUGAGAAUGGAAGGUUAGAAUAAAAUUAACACGUAAUACUUUGCAAUAAAAUCCGUACAGCUUACCAACCCUGCAUACAUCUAUUUAAUAGGGCUCAAUGGAAGGAAAAAAAUAGGUGACACCAAUUAGUUGGAAAUUUUUUUUAGUCAUGAUAGUAUAUUUUCUUCAAAUCCCAAGCUUGCUAGGACUUCUUUAGCCUUUAGAAAAUAUAUGGGACUUCAUCUAGUACUUACUACUUUUAUUGUAAUAUUAGUUCAAGAUGACUUUAAAUAGAGAAACAUGAUUAGUGAGGAUUCAUAUAGCCAAGACCAACUUGUUUGGAAUUGAGACGUAGUUGUAGUUGUAUUACUUUUUUACUAGUCUUUUCUUUCUUUCUUCUAGCUAUAGUCAACUUGUGUAAUUUUUGCUGCUAUUUACAUAGUUCACUUUUCACUGUUUUGCUUUGGACAUUUUUAAGAGUUGUCUGAAUAUUGCUACUUUAUACCCUCUGUUCACAUAACAGUUGAAAUAUGUAUGGUACGAAUGCUGAUAUUACGACACUGAAUUUUAUAGGUACAAGUUUAUGCUAUUUAACGAGGUGUAUUUUCUGUUGGGUGGUGGGAUAGUAUGGAUUGGUAUUCAUCUUCUUUUCUUUUUUUCAAUUCUACACUUACUAUUGUCUUAAAUUCUUAGAAGAUUGCUGAGUUAUAAGUUCUAUAUUGAAUCUAUCAAUUUGCCACUUGAAAUACCUAUUGGAUCUAAAUGGACUAUUGAGUGUGAUUCCUAGACAACACAGUUGAGUAGAGGGAAAUGUGUACUAGUCACUUGAGAAGUGGAUUAGUGACUUUAAAAUGGUUUAGUGUAGUUCUUGAAAGGUGAACUUAUGUUUUGAAAUUAGUAAAGUGUAAUCACUUGAAAUUGGUUUAGUGUUGACACAUGAAAUGAGAAUUCAUGACUUGAAAAUGGUUGGGCUUAGUCACUUGAAAUGCGAAUUAGAGAGUUGAAAAUGGUUAAGUGUAGUGUUUUGAAAUGUGUACUAGUCACUUGAGAAGUGAAUUAGCGACUUCAAAUUUAGUGUAGUUCUUGAAAGGUGAACUUGUUUUGAAAUUAGUAAAGUGUUAUCAUUUGAAAAAUGUGAAUUCAUGACUUGAAAUUGGUUUAGUGUUGAUAGUUGAAAUGUGAAUUCAUGACUUGAAAAUGAUUAAGUUUAGUCACUUGAAAUGUGAAUUAGAGAGUUGAAAAUGGUUGAGUGUAGUGUUUUGAAAUGUGUACUAAUCACUUGAGAAGUGGAUUAGCGACUUAAAAACGGAUUAGUGUAGUUCUUGAAAGGUGAAAUUGUGUUUUGAAAUUAGUAAAGUGUAAUCACUUGAAAAUGUGACUUGAAAAUGGUUGGGCUUAGUCACAUGAAAUGUGAAUUAGAGUUGAAAAUGAUUAAGUGUAGUGUUUUGAAAUGUGUACUAGUCACUUGAGAGGUGAAUUAGCGACUUGAAAAUAUUUUAGUGUAGGUACUUGAAAGGCACUUGAGAAGUGGAUUAGCGACUUAAAAAUGGAUUAGUGUAGUUCUUGAAAGGUGAAAUUGUGUUUUGAAAUUAGUAAAGUGUAAUCACUUGAAAAUGUGACUUGAAAAUGGUUAGGCUUAGUCACAUGAAAUGUGAAUUAGAGAGUUGAAAAUGAUUAAGUGUAGUGUUUUGAAAUGUGUACUAGUCACUUGAGAGGUGAAUUAGUGACUUGAAAAUAUUUUAGUGUAGGUACUUGAAAGGUGAACUUGUGUUUUGAAAUUAGUUAAGUGUAAUCACUUGAAAAUGUGAAUUCAUGACAUGAAAUUGGUUUAGUGUUUAUACUUGAAAUGUGAAUUCAUGACUUGAAAAUGAUUAAGUUUAGUCACUUGAAAUAUGAAUUAGAGAGUUGAAAAUGGUUAAGUGUAGUGUUUUCAAAUAUGUACUAGUCACUUGAGAAGUGGAUUAGCAACUUAAUAAUGGUUUAGUGUAGUUUUUGAAAGGUGAACUUGUGUUUUAAAAUUAGUAAAGUAUAAUCAUUUAAAAAUGUUAAUUCAUAACAUGAAAUUGGUUUAGUGUUGACAGUUGAAAUGUGACUUCAUGACUUGAAAAUGGUUAGGUUUAUUCACUUGAAAUGUGAAUUAGAGAGUUGAAAAUGGUCAAGUGUAGUAUUUUGGAAUCUGUACUAGUGACGUCAAAGUGAUCAAGUGUAGUCACUUGAGAAGUGAAUUAGCGACUUGAAAAUGGUUUAGUGUAGUUACUUGAAAGGUGAACUUGUAUUUUGAAAUUAGUAUAGUGUAAUCACUUGAAAGUGUAAAUUCAUGACUUGAAAUUGAUUUAGUGUUGUCACUUGAAAUGUGAAUUCAUGACUAAAAAAUGGUUAAGUGUAGUGUUUUGAAUUGUUUCCUAGUGACUUCAAAAUGAUCAAGUCACCUCUACCUUCACCUCCUCCUAUAGAAGAAGAUAUUGAUACAGAUUUGAUUGGUCUAGUUCCUGGAGAUAUGGACAUGCUUGGUAGAGUGUUCAUCGAUCCUGAUGGAUCUUCAUAAGUUUAUUUUUCAUUAAAUAGGUUUAUUAUUUUCAUUAAUAAAAUAUUUAAGUUUACAUACUUAUUAUGUUAUUUACAGGUGGUAUCCCACGUCAAAAGAAGUUAAUGAGGCUGUAAGGGAAAGCGUUAUGAAACUUUUUACAUUUCCUUGGCACGAGUGGUGGGACAUUCCAAUAGUCUCUAAACAAGCCAUGUUUCAAGAGUUUAAGGUAUAUUAGAUUUAAUUAUUAUUUACCACUUCUACAAUUUUUGAGAGACAUGCUGCUAUGUCACAUCAGAUUACACAUCUUAGACAUGCCUUGACAUAGGUCGUUGCUCCUAAUUCAAGUAGCGAAGAGAAAACACAGAGUGAUGAGGAGUUUGUUGGGGCUACUCCUUAGUGUUGUUGGACUUGACUUUUAGAUAAUUUUUAGAUAUUGUUGAACUUAGCUUUCUAUUAGUGAAAAAUCUUCAGGAGUGUAAGUAUUUUGAAUGUUGUUGAAUUCAUUGUUUAAGUGUUGUUAUUUUAAAUUGUUUUAAUGAUUUGUUGAUGUAGUGUGUUGUAUGAUUAUUGUAAUAAUGUGUUGCAUGAGGAUGUAUAUGUUGAAUUGCAUUUUUAUUUGACAGGUGGGAUGCAGAAAAUGCAGAUUUCUACAUCAAAAAAAUACAGAAAAGCGAUGAUGGUAGUCGCUUUUUAUUUAUUAUGAAGAACAAAAAGCGACGACCAACGUCGCUUUUUAUUCAUUAUGAAGAACAAUAAGCGACGGCCAACGUCGCUUUUUAUUCAUUAUGAAGAAAAAAAAGCGACGGCAAACGGCUCUUUUUAUUCAUUAUGAAGAACAAAAAUCGAUGAUCAAUGUCGCUUUUUAUUCAUUAUGAAGAACAAAAAGUAACGAUCAACGUUGCUUUUUCAAUCUUUAUGAAGAACAAAAAGCAAUGACCAGCGUCGCUUUUUUAAGAAAAAAAUUACUUUUCUUAAAUUACAAUGGAUAGUGUCAAUUUUUCUUGAAAAAAAAUUAUUUCUUUUCAAUAAAGUGACGACGUGCGUCGUUUUUUGUUCAUCAUGUCUUCUUACCUAAAGAACAAAAAACGGCGCACAACGUCCCUUUUUAUAAGAAUAACUAAAAAUUUCAAAAAACGACGUUCGUCGUAAUAAAAGCGACGCAGGCAGUCGUUUUUAAAAAACAAUGCCUUUUUUUCAGACGAAAAAAUUGAUGGAUUGCCGUUGCUUUUGACCAAAAUCGUGAUGCUAGCCGUCGCAUUUUGGCAUUUUUUUAGUAGUGAUUAAUGAUCCAUGCACAGUAGAUUGAGGAGGAGAAGGCUAAGGAGAGAUAGAGGGAGAACAAGAGAGUUAGGACUGGUAGUUUCAACUUUGCUUAGAUGAGGUUAGAAGGUGGUAACCGUCCCUAAUUUUGUUCGAAAUUUUUAGCUCCAGCUCCAUCUUCAACUAGUGCUCCUGUGCCAAAGUUUAGAAAUGACAAUCAGGAUAGGGUGUUAGGCUUUAAGUCCCAAGGCAGUGUAAACAGUGGUCACACAAAUCCUCUUUGCCAGAAAUAUGGUAGAAACCAUCAGGGUGAUUGUAGAGCUGACAAUGGUGUAUGCUUUAGGUAUGGCAAGCCAGACCAUCAGAUCCGGGAGUGUCGGGUAGUUGCUCAAAAGAGAAGGGAUUUGCGUCAGUGAGGCAAGUCCCAUCUGUCAUCUGCUCCAGCAGGUUGCCCAACUCAGCAGGGCGCCACCUCCAGUGCCACUAGCAGUCAGCGCUAGAACAGACUAUAUGCACUUUAUUCCCAAUAGGAUCACAAAAGUUCUCCUGAUAUGGUUAUGGGUACGUUGCAGGUCUUUUAUUUACAUGUAUAUGCUUUGUUAGACCUCGGAGCUUUACUUUCUUUUGUAACCCUCUGUAUAACUGUUAAUUUUUGUGUCAAUCCCAAAACCUUAACCGAACCCUUCUCAGUGUCCACUCCAGUAGGUGUUUCUAUUAUAGCCAAGUAGGUAUACAAGAACUAUGUGGUUACAAUAUCCCAGAAAUUUACUUCAGUAGAUCUUGUAGAGUUAGAGAUGAUCGAUUUUUUUAUUAUUCUUGGCAUAAAUUGGAUCCAUUCAUGUUAUAACUCAAUCGAUUGUAAAAAUAGGGUCGUACAGUUUCAGUUUCCAAAUGAACCAAUCCUUGAAUGGAGGGGUAGUACUUUAGCGCUUAGGGGUCUAUCUUGUUUCAUACCUUAGAGAGAGAAAAUGAUAGCCAAGGGGUGUAUUUAUCAUCUUAUUCAAGUCAAAGACUCUAAUUCUGUGACUCCCAAUCUUGAGUUAGUUUUAGUAGUGAAGGAAUUUUCAAAUGUGUUCCCUGAAGAUCUUACUAGAGUUCCUCCCGAAAGGGAAAUUUGACUUCGGAAUAAACCUUCUUUCAGAUACCUAGCCUAUCUUUAUUCCGCCAUACAAAAUGGCUCCAGCUGAACUCAAAGAUUUGAAAGAACAGCUAAAAGAUCUCCUAGAUAAGGGAUUCAUUAGGCCAAGUGUUUCUCUAUGGAGCGCUCCAGUCCUUUUCGUGAAUAAGAAAGAUGGUUCCCUUAGAAUGUGUAUCGAUUACCGUCAGUUGAAAAAAGUCACCAUCAAGAAUAAAUAUCCACUCCUCAAAAUUGAUGACUUGUUCGACCAACUUCAGGGUGCCAGUUACUUUUCUAAGAUAGACCUCAGAUCCGGCUAUCAUCAGCUCAGAGUCAAAGAAUGUGACAUUCUGAAAAUAGCUUUUAGAACUCGGUAUGAUUACUUUGAGUUUCUAGUUAUGUCCUUCGGUCUCACCAAUAUCCCAGAAGCCUUUAUGGACUUGAUGAACCGAGUGUUCCAGUUAUAUUUGGACAUGUUCAUCAUAGCCAUCAUUGAUGAUAUUCUUGUCUACUCCCAUAACAAAAAUGAUCAUGAAGACCACCUCAAAAUUGUAUUGUAGACUCUUAGAGCUCAUUAGUUGGUCGCCAAGUUCAGUAAGUAUGAGUUUUGGCUAUGAUUAGUAGCUUUCCUUGGAUAUAUUAUUUCCGAUGAUGGCAUUAGAGUUUACCCUCAAAAGACCAAUGCUGUAAGAAACUAGCCCAGACCCAUCUUUCCGUCAGAUAUUAGGAGUUUCUUGGGUUUGGCUUGAUAUUACCGAUGGUUUGUUGAAUGAUUUUUGUCUAUUGCAUCUCCCAUGUCUAGAUUGAUUCAGAAAAAAGUCAAGUUUCAAUGGUCAGAUUCUUAUGAGAAAAUUUUUUAAGACUUAAAGACUUGACUCACCUCAGCACCAAUGUUGGCCUUGCCUGAUGGUUCAGAGGGUUUUGUUGUUUACUGUGAUGUUUCUAUAGUUGGUUUGGGGUGCGUUUUGAUGUAGAAAGGUAAGUCUAUAGCCUAUGCCUCUAGACAGCUUAAACCCCAUGAAAAGAAUUACCCCACCUAUGAUUUUGAACUCGCAGCUGUUGUGUUUGCUUUAAAGAUUUGGAGGCACUAUUUGUAUGGGGUGAAUGUUGAUAUGUUCACAGACCACAAAAGCUUGUAGUAUGUUGUAACGCUUUGAUUUUUCUGAACCAGAAUACUACACGGUGCUUAUGACCCCGAAGGAUCACAAGCUAACCCAUGAUUGAUAUCUGUACCUAUACACUGCAUAUAUAAUGUAAUAAUGCGAAAAACAUGAACAUGUAGGCCAUAAGGUUCAACUGAAUAAAUAAUCUAUCAAAACAUAACAUCUAUAUGGUUGAAAGCUACCCAAAACAAUUGAAAACUGAAUCAAAUCUGAACAUAAGUCUGAAUACUGAAUCUGAAAGUCUCUAAGUACUGUUUGAAUAAGGAGUUGAAGGAACAUGUCUCCAACUAACUCCAUAAACUGAUAACGGACUAAAAUAAUAAUGAAUAAAUCAAAUCAUAUUGUCCUCGAAUGAAGAGGACUCACUGAAUCUCUAUGACUGGAAAUGCUACUGCUACUGUUGAUCUAGAGCUCGUGUCUUUGCACCUAUGGUGUAAUAUAAAAAGAAAGCACCAUAGCGCAAAUGCGUCAGUACGAGGGAAUGUACUGAGUAUACGAGUGAGGUAGGCUAUAUAUAAACAGGGUUUACAUGCAUGAACAAUGCUAACUGUCUAACUGACAUGAACGUAAGAGUACAAACAUGCAUACAUAGUAACUGAAAUUGUGGGAGCAUGAUAGCUAGUCCUGUAUGCUAAUACAUAGUUUACUGAUGGCUAACAUGACUGAUACUGAAAUUUUGAUAACAUGGGCGACUGUAUCUGGCAAUCCUGAAUCUAAUGGAACUUUCUGAGUUUCGUACUGUAACUGAGUCUGACUGUACCUGACAGUCCUGAUAAACUGAAAUCUGAAAACCUAUUUGAGUCUUUUACUAAGACUGAUUUUGAAACUAUGGGGGGUAGUUGUUUAACCGAUAUGCCCCAAUAACGCAUAUAACUAAGUUGGGUUUCAAUCUCUAUCCCGACUGGAGGGGUGUCAAUACCGUGCCACUGGUAAGGAUAGUUGUGGGUGACCCUUAGCUGGCAGGUAUUCGAAAGGAGAACGGUGGGAACCCUAAACCGACAGGUUAAGCCACCUCAUCAACCCUAAUCUGACAGGCUAAGAUGUCUUAACCUACGCUGGCUACGUAGUUUUGGAACACAAGGAUGACUGCUAAGAAUCACACCUUAAAAUAGUAGGUGAGUCCCUAUCCCUGGGUUCACUUGGUGCUAACUUCUACUCCCAUCUGAAGAGACUAAACAUGAUUCAAAUGACUGUACAUGGACAGAUUAACUAACUUUCGUUGACUGACGGGGUAGUAUUAUUAUCUGAGAGUUAACUGAGAUCAUGAGAUUUCUGAGGUUUCCUGAGUCACAUAACUGACUGAGUUCUAUAGAUUAUAGCUUGACUGAGAUUAUCGUGACAACAUGACAUGGCUCUAGGCACACAGCUAUAUUUUUCGGGUACGAAUACCCCCAGGACUCGAUNNNNNNNNNNNNNNNNNNNNNNNNNNNNNNNNNNNNNNNNNNNNNNNNNNNNNNNNNNNNNNNNNNNNNNNNNNNNNNNNNNNNNNNNNNNNNNNNNNNNNNNNNNNNNNNNNNNNNNNNNNNNNNNNNNNNNNNNNNNNNNNNNNNNNNNNNNNNNNNNNNNNNNNNNNNNNNNNNNNNNNNNNNNNNNNNNNNNNNNNNNNNNNNNNNNNNNNNNNNNNNNNNNNNNNNNNNNNNNNNNNNNNNNNNNNNNNNNNNNNNNNNNNNNNNNAUUGAAACUUAAACAACAAUCGUCAAUAUGUACAUACUCAUAUCACCACAAAAAGUUUAUAAAAUAAUAUUUAAAACAUGGUUCUUGAGCUCUAUGAACGGAUUGGAUCCAUAAAUGAACACUACGCAUACCUUAGGAAGGAAACCUUGAUGAUUUGCUAGAGAGUUCUUUGAUUGGGAAACUUAAUUCUCAAUUAUCUUAGAAAAAGGCUUGAAUCUUGCUUUUGAGAGAUGAGUUUGAUGGAAACCCUAAUCUUGUGGUUGAGAGCGUAAGAGAGGGUUUUUGAGAUCCUUAAUUGGAGAAAAAUGGGAAAAAUUACGCCUCUUUAGGGUUAUAAGUCAUGGAAGGUGAAGGAAAUAGCCGAAAUACCCUUAUGAAAUAAAUUUUCAGUUGCUAAAAAUCAUAGCUGACGACAUUUGUGACAAGGCGUCAAAAAAUGUGACAAGCCAUCAAAAAUGUCGUCACACAUGAGCUGGAAUUGAUGGUUUCUGCCUAAGCCUGACGACAUUUAUGACAAGGCGUUAAAAAUGUGACAGGCCAUCAAAAAUGUCGUCACAUAGAAGUUGGAUUCUGCCUAAGGCUGACGACAUUUUUGACAAGUCAUCACAAAUGUGGUAAGCUGUCACGAAUGUCGUCACUUAGGAGCUGGUUUCUGCCAAAGGCUGAUGACCUUCGUGAUAGGGCGUCACAAAUGUGGUAAGCUACAAUGAAUGUCGUUAUUUAGGAGCUGGUUUCUGCCUAAGGCUGACGACCUUUGUGAUAGGGCAUCACAAAUGUGGUAAGCUGGUUUCUGCCUAAGGCUGACGACCUUCGUGAUAGGGCAUCACAAAUGUGGUAAGCUACCACGAAUGUCGUCACUUAGGAAAUGGUUUCUACCUAAGGCUGACGACCUUCGUGAUAGGACAUCACAAAUAUGGUAAGCUACCACGAAUGUCAUCACACUAUUUCCAGCCUGACAUGCUGAAGUAAAAUAGGAAUAACUCUUUGAUCCGAUAUUGGAUUUAGGCAAAGUUGGUAUUGUUGGAAAGAUAAUUCAAUUAUAUAUUUGUUGAUAGGUCAUGAGCUCAAAAAUUCCAAGUAUAAUGAGAUAUAUGCUCGUUUGAAGUUGACUAUACCAAUAUCCUUCGCAAGAGUUCAAUCGGUAAGGAAUGUUUUGAUUCGUCUGAUAGCGGGGAGUUAUUUGAAGCCUUAAUAUACAUCUAACCUACUCAUAGAACUAUAAAAGAAAUAUGGUAUACUAUGCAUGAGCUUGGUACAUGGCUCUAAUAUUGGUUUGGAUUUUUCAGGGUAUUACAUAUGUGUUUUUGCAGAAGUAUUUAAAUCUGUAUCAGAGAAGAUGGUUAGAAUUGUUGUAAGAUUAUGACAUAAGUGUUCUGUAUCAUCCGGGCAAGGCUAAUGUAGUGGCAGAUGCCCUUAGUUGGUUGUCUAUGGGUAUUAUUGCUCACAUUAAGGAUGAUAGGAAGAAGUUAGUUCAGGAAGUUCACCAGCUCUCCAGAUUAGGUGUUCGUUUGGUAGACUCAGCUGAGGGUAGUGCAUGGGUUCAAAAUAGUUCAGAAUCUUCUUUGGUUACCGAAGUGAAAGAAAAGCAAGAUAGGGAUCCCAGUCUUGUUAAAUUGAAGGAGUCAGUCAGAGAUUAAAAAGUAAAGGUUUUCUCCCAAGAGGGAGAUGGUGUGUUGCAUUGCCAGGGAAGACUAUGUGUGCCAUGUGUAGAUGAUUUGAGACGACGAUUUCUUGCAGAAGUGCAUGGUGUGUGUUACUCCAUUCAUCCAGGGGCCACGAAGAUGUAUCCCGAUUUGCGAGACAUCUAUUAAUGGGGUGGUAAGAACAAGGAUAUUAUAUAGUUUGUUGCUAAGUGCUCUAAUUGUCAGCAAGUUAAGGUUGAACACCAAAAUCCUAGUAGCAAUAUGCAGGAGUUCAGCAUCCCCACUUGGAAGUGGGAAGUGGUGAACAUGAAUUUUGUGAUAGGAUUACCUCAUAUGAUCGUCAACAUAAUUUGAUAUAGGUUAUUGUUAAUAGGAUGGCCAAAUUAGCACACUUCUUGCCAGUCCGUACUUCUUAUUCAACUGAGGACUAUGCGAAGCUCUAUCUUAGAAAGUUGGUUAGGUUGCAUGGAGUCUCGUUGUCCAUCAUUUCAAAUAGAGGUACCCAAUUUACCUUUCACUUUUGGAAAACAUUCUAGAAGGAUCUUGGUAUCUUAGUUCAUCUCGAUACAGCCUUUCACCCUCAGACAGUCAAGUAGAGAGGACCAUUCAGAUCCGGGAGGAGAUGUUAAGAGCUUGUGUUAUUAAUUUUAAUGGUAGUUAGGAUGAUCAUUUUUCUUUGAUUGAGUUCGUGUAUAAUAACAGCUAUCAUUCCAGUAUUCAGAUGGCUCUAUUUGAGGCUCUAUAUGGGAGGAGAUAUGGAUCUCUAAUUGGUUGGUUUGAGGUAGGUGAGACCACUUUGGUAGGGCCUGAUUCUGUGUUUGAUACAUUGGAGAAAGUUCAAUUGAUCAGGGAGAGGCUUAAGAUAGCCCAAAGCCGACAGAAACCUUAUGCUGAUGUGAGUAGAAGGGAUCUUGGGUUUGAGAUUGGAGAUUUUGUAUAUCUAAAGAUCUCUCCUAUGAAGGGAGUUAAGAGGUUUGGUAAGAAAGGGAAGCUCAGUCCCCGACAUAUUGGACUUACAGAAUCUUAAGCCGCUUUGGGAAGGUAGCUUAUGAACUCAAGUUGCCUAAAGAUUUGGCCUCUGUGUACCUAAUAUUCCAUAUAUUUUUGUUGAAGAAGUGUAUUGGUGACUCAGCUGUACUUGUCCCUUUAGAAAGCAUAGAUGUUUAGAACAACCUUUCUUAAGAAAAAAUUCCAGUCGAGAUCUUAGAUCACCAGUUUUGUAGACAAAGGAACAAAGAAGUUCCCUUGGUCAAAGUUGUUUGGUAUAACCAAUCCGUUGAGGGAGCCACUUGGAAAGAAGAAGCAGAUAUGCGCACCAAGUACCUUCAUCUUUUCUCCUCAAACUCAGACUCAGCUAAAGAUAACAAUUUUCCCUUGAGUUUUUCUUUUCCAUACUCAGUUCCAGCUGCAUAUCAUUCUCAUAUCAUUCAUGCAUUCAGAAAACCAGUUUAGUCAUGUGUUAUGUUUGAGACUUGGUCAUGUAAUCAUGUUUUCAGCAUGUAACCUCAAUUUCUUAGAGUUCUCAGCUUAACCAAUUUCAUUCGAGGACGAAUGUUCCCAAGGGGAGAUAUUGUAAUACCUCGAGAACCCAAACAAAUAUUAGAACCUUGCUAAAAGAUCAUGAGAAAUAAAUUAUAGUGCUUUGGUAGUUUUUUGAGCGAGUUUCAUGUAUAUUAAGGCCUCAAAUAACUCCUAGCUAUUAGACGAAUCAAAAUAUCCCUUACCGAUUGAGUUCUUUAGAAGGAUGUUGCUAUAGUCAACUUCAAACGAGCAUAUCUUUCAUUUUCCAAAGAAUUUUUAGUCUCAUGACCUACAAAUAGUUAUAUAAUUGAAUUAUAUUUCCAAUGAUACCAAUUUUGCCUUAAUCCAAUAUCGGGGUAAAAAGUUAUGCUGGUUUUACCAGAGAGCUAUCCGACUACCGAGGUCGACGGCCAGGUUGAUGGACCGUCAAGCCAGAGAUGGACUGUCAAGAUAGGCUGUCAACUUCAGGCAGUAAGCUCAUUUUCUAGCCAUAAACUAAUGUUUUGAGUGACGAUCAGUCACCAGAGUGACGGUUCAUCACCCAGACCAUCAACCGGACCCAUUUAGUGAUGUAAUAACGAUUUUAAUUAGAUUUUUGUGUCUUUUUCCACCCUCAUUCCAUCAGCAUAAAUAAAAUAACUCCUUAUUCAUCUUAAACAUCAAAUUAGGGUUUCUAUCAAGAUCAUUCCCCAAUAACAAGAUUCAAGCACUUUCUUCAAGAAAACUCAAGAAUCCAAGUGUCACCAUUCAAAAACCUUUAAGAAAAGUUAUUCUCCUUUAAGAUUUAAGCUUUUGAGGUAUGUUAGAUGUUCAUCUAUGAGUUCUUUUCACCAUGGAGUCCAAGAACCCAAUUUCAAGUUUAAUAGUAUGAUUGUUACAUAUUUUUAUGAAUUAUGUCUAUGAACUUUCAUGAAUUUCGAAUUUUAUAUCAUGUUUACACAAAAUUAUUAUUGUUAUUAAACCCUACAUAUUUGAAUUGUGUUGUUCAUUAAUUAAAGCCUUAAUUGGUGAUUUAGUAUCAAAAUCAUGCUACUACUACAUGUUUAAAACUAUUACCAUACUUACCCAUGCAUUGCAAGAGUUUGAUGAAAUACCUCAAAGAAUGAGUUUUGAUUAUUGACUACAUAUCAUGUCCUCAAAGUUUUAGUAUGAUCUUGCUGUUAUUGCUAUCGAGUCCUAGGGGUUUGAAUACCCAAAAUUUAGCUAUUUACAUACUUUUAGUAUCCUCAGAAUGAUUUUAGUUAAACCAUGAGCAUUGUUGAUUUCUCAGUUAUUAAUAUCAUAAUGAGCACUAUCAGAACUCAUAAUCAGUUAAACUUAGUUCAGUAUAAUAAUCAGUGUCAUUUAAUUGGGAGUAACACUUAGCACCGAGUGAGCGUAGAGAUGGUGUCUCACCUGUCAGUUAGAUAUGAGGCACUAGUAGUGAUCCCUAGGUUCCAGACCUAUGGCACCACCAUAGAUUUUGAGGGGUCCCCCGUCAGUUAGGCAUGACAACCUCAUCCUUUAGGUCUUCAGAUUCGUGGAUCCAUACAGCUAGUAUUAGUACCCGUGGCAUGGUGCUGACACCUUUCCAACUGGGUUACAGGUUGGACCCUGAUAUAUUAAGGCAUGUUAGUUAUAGCUAGCUCCCAUAGUUUUAGUCCAGUAUCUAGUUCAGUAUUUAGUCUCAGGUUUGCUUGACCAUAGCAUUUGGAUGUCAGUCUUCUAGUUAUCAGUGUUUCAGUUUACAAACUAUUUCAGAUUCAUAUUUUUAUACUUGGUUAUGCAUUCUCAUUUUUUUACAAUUUUUAUGCAUUUAUACUUAGUUACCUUAUGCUAUUUAUUCAGUCAAUUAUUAUUCAUGCACAUGAACCCAUGCAUAUUAGCCUAACCCCAUCUAGCAUGCAAGUACAUUCAAAGUAUUGAUCAUAUACUCAUUUCUUGUGCUAUGAUGUUUAAUAUCAUAGGUUUGGACGCUCAAUUUCCCGAUCAUACUUCGAUAUUCCAGUGUAUCAGUAGCAACAACAGUGGUAAGUCCUUAUCUAUCGAGGACAUGUUUAUUAUUUCUGUUCAUUUCAGUAUUUUAUUUCAGUUAGAUAGUUGGAGUUAGUUGGGCCUAUCCCAUUAACUCUCUUUCAGACAGUUUUAGAGGCUUUCAAACAUUUUAGAUAGUUAGUCAGUUGUUUGUCUUUUCAGUCAAAUUUUCAAUAAUUUUGCAUAUGUUUUAGACUUUUGGGUUUUCAGUUGUAUUACUUUCAGAUUUAAAACCUUAAGGCGUAUUCAGUUAUUUUGCAAAUGUGUAUUUUGCAAUUGUUAUUCAGUGCUCACAGCAAGUAUCAGUUCAUGGGUUAGCUUGCUUUUUGGGACCGUGAGCACCAAGUGGCAUCUAUGGUGUAUUUUUGGGGCGUUACAAAGAUCUUUGAGCCUAGAGUGACGUUUUGACGAUUUCAAAUUUGUCUUCUCGCAAGCGAGUCCCAUAUGGAUUUCUAGAUUGAUUUUUGACUUGAAGAAUUAAUAUGGAAUAUGGGUAUUGUAAUUAUCUUGUUAACGUAUAGAUUAUUAUUUUGAUAGUUGUCAUUAUGUAGAGGCUUCUCAAAAGGAAAAAUCUUUUAUUUAGUGGACUUUCUUAAUCUUUAUUGGCGUCCAAGUAGGUUAGACUUAAUUUCCUCAUAUGUUGAGAUUUAUUAUAGUGUUAGUAUAGGAAUAUGCUAGAUUUCGGUUGAGAUUUUUGAUUUGGUUACAUGUUUAGUGAAUCUUGAAUUAUUUAGUCGAUUAGAUAGUCGUUUUAGGUAGAAUUGACCCAUUCCUCUUCUCUUUGAGGUAAAUUAUUGUCUUAGAACUAGCUUGGACCUAUUUAACACCUUAUAAUUUAACUUUGAAGUCAUAUUUUGUAUUUGAGGAGAGAAUUUCCUUAGAAUGGAUUUUCAAGGUUAGUAGCGAGCCUGGACUACUGUCAUAGGUCAUAUAUCCUAGUUAAAUUCUUAUACACCUAGGAGUCCUUCUUUAUAUUUUAUAUAAUUUUGAAUAUUAGGAUGAUUUAGGUAUCUUUCUAUCCCUUGGUUAUCCUUGUUAUCUAGCAUUUAUUUUAAAGUUUUGAUUUGAGUCUGGUAUUUAGUGUUCUCAUAUGCUAUUAAAGUUUUAGUUUGAGUUCAACACUUACUAUUCACUUAUGAUGCUAAAGUUCUGGUUCAAGUUCGGCGAAUAUGUUAUGCAGGCAUUCUAAGAUAUGAUUUUUAUUGUCGCUUACUUUAUAUUUACUACUGUCAAGUAACUUUUCCAUGAUUGUACCCACUGGGCUUAUGGGGACUCAUUUGGGUUAUCUCUUCUUUAUGCCUUCUAGGCUUAUUGGGGUCCAACUAGGUUGUACUUGGAUUGUAUUUUUCUUGGAUUGUUUAUCUUGUUUACUUAUCACUUUUUAGUCGAAGUAUUAUUUAAGGUUUUCCCUUUUAUCCCUUACUUUAACUUACAUUCUUGCAUUUUAUUAUGCUUUUAUUAUAAUUUAGCUCAUCAGUCAUUGAUGUUUAUUGAGUACCCAUUGCUUUAUUUCUCAUACUACACUUCUAUAUCUUUUCUGAUGCAGAUAUAGUACGAGUCAUCGCCACUGACGUUCUAUCUAUCAUUCUCUCAAGAUUCAAAGAUAGGGUGAGCUUUCAGAGCCAGAGUUGAUUCUCCCUCCUUCUAUUACUUUUGGACGGUCUUUAGUUAUGAAUACUAUCUACAUAUUGAAUACUAUAUAGUACUCUUAUUUUUUUUUGGAUUUAGUGGCUCUUUUACCGACCGUACUAGGACGUAGGAUAUUCUUUUGUUUUCUUUCUCUUUUUUUUGUUAUAUACUCAAUUGCACUUAUAUUUGAUCACCUAUAAUUCCACUGUGUACUUAUUCUUUCUGGUAUUUAUUAUAUUU
RNAcentral lists this long non-coding RNA (16406 nucleotides) under Capsicum annuum. RNAcentral's name for it is "long non-coding RNA (CANN_LNC001602)". Lineage: Eukaryota; Viridiplantae; Streptophyta; Magnoliopsida; Solanales; Solanaceae. The record is from RNAcentral.